AUUGAACGCUGGCGGCAUGCCUUACACAUGCAAGUCGAACGGCAGCACGGGAGCUUGCUCCUGGUGGCGAGUGGCGAACGGGUGAGUAAUGCAUCGGAACGUGCCCUGAAGUGGGGGAUAACGUAGCGAAAGUUACGCUAAUACCGCAUAUUCUGUGAGCAGGAAAGCAGGGGAUCUUCGGACCUUGCGCUUUUGGAGCGGCCGAUGUCGGAUUAGCUAGUUGGUGGGGUAAAGGCCCACCAAGGCGACGAUCCGUAGCGGGUCUGAGAGGAUGAUCCGCCACACUGGAACUGAGACACGGUCCAGACUCCUACGGGAGGCAGCAGUGGGGAAUUUUGGACAAUGGGCGCAAGCCUGAUCCAGCCAUGCCGCGUGAGUGAAGAAGGCCUUCGGGUUGUAAACUCCUUUACGGGGAAGAGGAAGGACGGUACCCGAGAAUAAGUCACGGCUAACUAACGUGCCAGCAG
RNAcentral lists this ribosomal RNA (467 nucleotides) under uncultured bacterium. Its description in RNAcentral is "bacterial SSU rRNA". It matches the Rfam family "Bacterial small subunit ribosomal RNA", at positions 30 to 514 of the family's 1533-position model. The record is from RNAcentral.